RNAcentral lists this ribosomal RNA (493 nucleotides) under Streptococcus pneumoniae. RNAcentral describes it as "partial 23S ribosomal RNA". It matches the Rfam family "Bacterial large subunit ribosomal RNA", at positions 1345 to 1848 of the family's 2925-position model. Lineage: Bacteria; Bacillati; Bacillota; Bacilli; Lactobacillales; Streptococcaceae. The record is from RNAcentral.
CUAAGGUUUCCAGGGGAAGGCUCGUCCGCCCUGGGUUAGUCGGGACCUAAGGAGAGACCGAAAGGUGUAUCCGAUGGACAACAGGUUGAUAUUCCUGUACUAGAGUAUGUAGUGAUGGAGGGACGCAGUAGGCUAACUAAAGCAGACGAUUGGAAGAGUCUGUCUAAGCAGUGAGGUGUGAAUUGAGUCAAAUGCUUAAUUCUAUAACAUUGAGCUGUGAUGGGGAGCGAAGUUUAGUAGCGAAGUUAGUGACGUCACACUGCCAAGAAAAGCUUCUAGCGUUUAAACAUACUCUACCCGUACCGCAAACCGACACAGGUAGUCGAGGCGAGUAGCCUCAGGUGAGCGAGAGAACUCUCGUUAAGGAACUCGGCAAAAUGACCCCGUAACUUCGGGAGAAGGGGUGCUGACUUUAAGUCAGCCGCAGUGAAUAGGCCCAAGCAACUGUUUAUCAAAAACACAGCUCUCUGCUAAAUCGUAAGAUGAUGUAUAG